This 503-nucleotide ribosomal RNA is filed under the name uncultured bacterium. RNAcentral's name for it is "partial 16S ribosomal RNA". It matches the Rfam family "Bacterial small subunit ribosomal RNA", at positions 30 to 523 of the family's 1533-position model. The record is from RNAcentral.
AUUGAACGCUGGCGGCAGGCUUAACACAUGCAAGUCGAGCGGGGUGAUGGUGCUUGCACUAUCACUUAGCGGCGGACGGGUGAGUAAUGCUUAGGAAUCUGCCUAUUAGUGGGGGACAACAUCUCGAAAGGGAUGCUAAUACCGCAUACGUCCUACGGGAGAAAGCAGGGGAUCACUUGUGACCUUGCGCUAAUAGAUGAGCCUAAGUCGGAUUAGCUAGUUGGUGGGGUAAAGGCCUACCAAGGCGACGAUCUGUAGCGGGUCUGAGAGGAUGAUCCGCAACACGGGGACCGAGACACGGCCCAGCAUCCAGCGGGGGGCAGCAGUGGGGAUUAUUGUACAAUGGGGGGAACCCUGAUCCAGCCAUGCCGCGUGUGUGAAUAAGGCCUUAUGGUUGUAAAGCACUUUAAGCGAGGAGGAGGCUCUUUUGGUUAAUACCCAAGAUGAGUGGACGUUACUCGCAGAAUAAGCACCGGCUAACUCUGUGCCAGCCGCCGCCGUAA